RNAcentral lists this ribosomal RNA (253 nucleotides) under uncultured bacterium. RNAcentral describes it as "partial 16S ribosomal RNA". It matches the Rfam family "Bacterial small subunit ribosomal RNA", at positions 524 to 776 of the family's 1533-position model. The record is from RNAcentral.
UACGGAGGGGGCUAGCGUUGUUCGGAAUUACUGGGCGUAAAGCGCACGUAGGCGGCUUUUUAAGUCAGAGGUGAAAGCCCGGGGCUCAACUCCGGAAUUGCCUUUGAGACUGGGAGGCUUGAUCGUCGGAGAGGUGAGUGGAAUUCCGAGUGUAGAGGUGAAAUUCGUAGAUAUUCGGAAGAACACCAGUGGCGAAGGCGGCUCACUGGACGACUGAUGACGCUGAGGUGCGAAAGCGUGGGGAGCAAACAGG